CGGGGCCCUUCCAUUCCCUUUCAACAGGAGUCUGCCCGGAAAUAGGCCAGCACACAAAGAGCGCACCUGUGACACUUGGAGUCUUAGAAUCCACCCCCUCCCAGCAGGGGGGGAGGGAAACUGAAACCAUCUGAGCAGGAGCUGCGCUCCACCUUGACCUCCUCCUUCCUCUCUGCUCAGACGGCGGGCCCUGGGACAGGCCAGGGGACCACCGGGCAGAUUCUUCUGCCUCUGCCCGCAGUCUCACAAACCGGUGCCUUGAAAACACAAGCGAGGCCACUUGUUGCGCAGGUGCGGAGGUUUCCAGGCACCGGGGCUCGGAGGAGGCAGCACUUCUCAGACAGCCUGGAGCUAGCUGAGGACCCAGGCCUCACACACCCAACCUGGAAACUUCAUCAAAAAACUGCCCCGAGGCAGGGGAGGAGUGAAGGGUGGUUUCGAAAAGCAGAGGAGGAAAGGUAGAAACUGGUUAAAAGUAGAUGAAAACCGAAAGGCCCGCUCCCUUUCUGCCCUCAGGGAGACAGGGCAGUCCCACAGAUGGGGGAAGGGGACCCCUUCCUUGACCAGAGUGCGGGUCAUGGGGAGGAGGGGGGUGCCAACAUCCUUCUCAGGAAACAGGCUGCAAUACCAUGGGCUUAAAUAUUGAUUGUCGAGAGAGAGAGAGAGAGAGAGAGAGAGAGAGAGAGAGAGAGAGAGAAACCUGCAACCCACCAAUCUCAUUUCCAGAUUCCCUCUCUCCAGCCUAGAGACAUGAAUAAUUAACUUGCCUACCCGAGAGCUCGCCGGAGUGGCUAUAAAAGAUGAGUAAUGGCACGGAAGCCCCGGCCCCACGCCCGCCGGCUUCUGGGCUUCUGGGCUCGGGUCUGGGGCUAGGACCGGCGCCGGGAACAAAGCCUCCGCAUUCCUCCGGGAAGGUGUGCCUGAAACCAAACCUGUCACCGGCGAGAAGCUGGCCCCUUACCUCCCCCAUAGCCGGCUCCCCGGCUGCAAGGAGGGGAAGAGGAGGGGCCGACGCCCGGGCGCGCGGGGUGGACCCGAUGGCCAGGUCGCCUCUGCCCACACCCCCACCCCUGACCGAGCGGUGCCCCCAACCACAGCCGCUUUCGGGAAGCCGCGCAGUCUGCCGGGCGAUAAUCCUGUUACCAUGAACGCCGGCUGUACUUGGAGAGCCAAUUCUCAAAGCAACAAGGCAGCUCCCUCGGCGCCCUUCCCGGAUAAAUUGGCCAGACAAUGAACAGAAACCCUGGGUCAUCAUUAAAAAAAAGACAUGCUGUGGAAGAUUCCUUUAAAUGAUAAUGUCCAGUGUUGCUGGGAAACAGACAAUUUGAAGGAAGCAUACACAGUUCCUGGGGACAAUUUAGCAAUAUGAAUUAAAAGCCUUAAAAA
Molecule: long non-coding RNA, 1386 nt
Organism: Myotis lucifugus (little brown bat)
Lineage: Eukaryota; Metazoa; Chordata; Mammalia; Chiroptera; Vespertilionidae
Exons: 2
Source: RefSeq, a predicted model, not a curated record